CAGUCGCGUUGGCUAGAAAUCGACAUUGCUCUUGCUUUGUGUAUUUUCUGGUUGACGGGUCAGCAUCAAUUUUGACCAUUGGAUAAAGGCAUUGGGAAUGUGGCAUCUCAGGAUGUGUUAUAGCCUCUUGUUGUACACGGUGUCGGGGAUCGAGGACUGCAGCACGCCUUUGGUCGGGGUUCGCCCACGCCCACGUGCUUAGGAUGCUGGCAAAUGGACUUUAAACGACCCGUCUUGAAACACGGACCAAGGAGUCUAACAUAUGUGCG
RNAcentral lists this ribosomal RNA (269 nucleotides) under Acaulospora kentinensis. Lineage: Eukaryota; Fungi; Glomeromycota; Glomeromycetes; Diversisporales; Acaulosporaceae. The record is from RNAcentral.